GCUUAACACAUGCAAGUCGAACGCUGAAGCUUGGUGCUUGCACUGGGUGGAUGAGUGGCGAACGGGUGAGUAAUACGUGAGUAACCUGCCCUUGACUCUGGGAUAAGCCUGGGAAACUGGGUCUAAUACUGGAAACGACAUGUCACCGCAUGGUGGUGUGUGGAAAGGGUUUUACUGGUUUUGGAUGGGCUCACGGCCUAUCAGCUUGUUGGUGGGGUAAUGGCUCACCAAGGCGACGACGGGUAGCCGGCCUGAGAGGGUGACCGGCCACACUGGGACUGAGACACGGCCCAGACUCCUACGGGAGGCAGCAGUGGGGAAUAUUGCACAAUGGGCGAAAGCCUGAUGCAGCGACGCCGCGUGAGGGAUGACGGCCUUCGGGUUGUAAACCUCUUUCAGCACGGAAGAAGCGAAAGUGACGGUACGUGCACAAGAAGCGCCGGCUAACUACGUGCCAGCAGCCGCGGUAAUACGUAGGGCGCAAGCGUUGUCCGGAAUUAUUGGGCGUAAAGAGCUCGUAGGCGGUUUGUCGCGUCUGCUGUGAAAGCCCGGGGCUUAACCCCGGGUGUGCAGUGGGUACGGGCAGACUUGAGUGCAGUAGGGGAGACUGGAAUUCCUGGU
RNAcentral lists this ribosomal RNA (621 nucleotides) under Kocuria sp. PF1_Na_14. RNAcentral describes it as "bacterial SSU rRNA". It matches the Rfam family "Bacterial small subunit ribosomal RNA", at positions 46 to 674 of the family's 1533-position model. Lineage: Bacteria; Bacillati; Actinomycetota; Actinomycetes; Micrococcales; Micrococcaceae. The record is from RNAcentral.